Molecule: transfer RNA, 81 nt
Filed under: Coniochaeta sp. 2T2.1
Lineage: Eukaryota; Fungi; Ascomycota; Sordariomycetes; Coniochaetales; Coniochaetaceae
Rfam family: tRNA
About the family: Transfer RNA (tRNA) molecules are approximately 80 nucleotides in length. Their secondary structure includes four short double-helical elements and three loops (D, anti-codon, and T loops).
Source: Rfam by way of RNAcentral
GGCAGUGUGCCAGAGUGGUUAAUGGGUAUGACUCGGAAUCAUAUGGCUUCGGCCGCAUAGGUUCAAAUCCUGUCGCUGUCG